Molecule: ribosomal RNA, 253 nt
Filed under: uncultured bacterium
Lineage: Bacteria
Description: partial 16S ribosomal RNA
Rfam family: Bacterial small subunit ribosomal RNA
Source: RNAcentral
GACGUAGGGCGCGAGCGUUGUCCGGAUUUAUUGGGCGUAAAGAGCUCGUAGGCGGCCAACUAAGUCAUACGUGAAAUCCCUCGGCUUAACCGGGGAACUGCGUCUGAUACUGGAUGGCUUGAGUUCGGGAGAGGGAUGCGGAAUUCCAGGUGUAGCGGUGAAAUGCGUAGAUAUCUGGAGGAACACCGGUGGCGAAGGCGGCAUCCUGGACCGAUACUGACGCUGAGGAGCGAAAGCCAGGGGAGCAAACGGG